AUUGAACGCUGGCGGCAGGCUUAACACAUGCAAGUCGAGCGGGGUGAUGGUGCUUGCACUAUCACUUAGCGGCGGACGGGUGAGUAAUGCUUAGGAAUCUGCCUAUUAGUGGGGGACAACAUCUCGAAAGGGAUGCUAAUACCGCAUACGUCCUACGGGAGAAAGCAGGGGAUCACUUGUGACCUUGCGCUAAUAGAUGAGCCUAAGUCGGAUUAGCUAGUUGGUGGGGUAAAGGCCUACCAAGGCGACGAUCUGUAGCGGGUCUGAGAGGAUGAGCCGCCACACUGGGACUGAGACACGGCCCGGACUCCUACAGGAGGCAGCAGUGGGGAAUAUUGGACAAUGGGGGGAACCCUGAUCCAGCCAUGCCGCGUGUGUGAAGAAGGCCUUAUGGUUGUAAAGCACUUUAAGCGAGGAGGAGGCUCUUUUGGUUAAUACCCAAGAUGAGUGGACAUUACUCGCAGAAUAAGCACCGGCUAACUCUGUGCCAGCCGCCGCAGUAA
RNAcentral lists this ribosomal RNA (503 nucleotides) under uncultured bacterium. RNAcentral describes it as "partial 16S ribosomal RNA". It matches the Rfam family "Bacterial small subunit ribosomal RNA", at positions 30 to 523 of the family's 1533-position model. The record is from RNAcentral.